Molecule: small nuclear RNA, 19 nt
Filed under: Arabidopsis thaliana (thale cress)
Lineage: Eukaryota; Viridiplantae; Streptophyta; Magnoliopsida; Brassicales; Brassicaceae
Description: snRNA_06470
Source: RNAcentral
GCUCAGAACUGGUACGGAC